This 447-nucleotide ribosomal RNA is filed under the name uncultured bacterium. RNAcentral's name for it is "SSU rRNA". It matches the Rfam family "Bacterial small subunit ribosomal RNA", at positions 26 to 518 of the family's 1533-position model. The record is from RNAcentral.
AGAACGAACGCUGGCGGCGCGCCUAACACAUGCAAGUCGAGCGCCUCGCUUUCGGGCGGGGAGCGGCGCACGGGUGAGUAACGCGUGGGAAUCUACCCUGGGGUUCGGGACAACGGCGGGAAACUGCCGCUAACACCGGAUACGGCCUUUUGGCGAAAGUUUACGCCCUGGGAUGAGCCCGCGUCCGAUUAGCUAGUUGGUGGGGUAACGGCCCACCAAGGCUGCGAUCGGUAGCCGGUCUGAGAGGAUGAUCGGCCACACUGGGACUGAGACACGGCCCAGACUCCUACGGGAGGCAGCAGUGGGGAAUCUUGGACAAUGGGGGCAACCCUGAUCCGGCGACGCCGCGUGGGUGAUGAAGGCCUUCGGGUUGUAAAGCCCUUUUGUCGGGACGAUGAUGACGGUACCCGGCGAAUAAGCACCGGCUAACUCCGUGCCAGCAGCCGC